Molecule: ribosomal RNA, 497 nt
Filed under: uncultured bacterium
Lineage: Bacteria
Description: partial 16S ribosomal RNA
Rfam family: Bacterial small subunit ribosomal RNA
Source: RNAcentral
GAUGAACGCUGGCGGCGUGCCUAAUACAUGCCAGUCGAGCGAACGGACGAGAAGCUUGCUUCUCUGAUGUUAGCGGCGGACGGGUGAGUAACACGUGGAUAACCUACCUAUAAGACUGGGAUAACUUCGGGAAACCGGAGCUAAUACCGGACAAUAUUUUGAACCGCAUGGUUCAAAAGUGAAAGACGGUCUUGCUGUCACUUAUAGAUGGAUCCGCGCUGCAUUAGCUAGUUGGUAAGGUAACGGCUUACCAAGGCAACGAUGCAUAGCCGACCUGAGAGGGUGAUCGGCCACACUGGAACUGAGACACGGUCCAGACUCCUACGGGAGGCAGCAGUAGGGAAUCUUCCGCAAUGGGCGAAAGCCUGACGGAGCAACGCCGCGUGAGUGAUGAAGGUCUUCGGAUCGUAAAACUCUGUUAUUAGGGAAGAACAUAUGUGUAAGUAACUGUGCACAUCUUGACGGUACCUAAUCAGAAAGCCACGGCUAACUACGUG